RNAcentral lists this long non-coding RNA (225 nucleotides) under Gossypium raimondii (Peruvian cotton). RNAcentral describes it as "long non-coding RNA (GRAI_LNC004485)". Lineage: Eukaryota; Viridiplantae; Streptophyta; Magnoliopsida; Malvales; Malvaceae. The record is from RNAcentral.
GGGGAUUGUGAGUUUCGAGCGGUGGAAGAAGCUAGGGCAAAACCCUAGCAGAGAAAAGGGCAGCAUUUUUUUCUACAAGACAUACUUUUUUUAUUUUUUUUAGAAAUAUUUUGUUUAAAUAAUAACGCAGUACGACGCCAUUUUGAGACAAUGGCACCAGUGCCAAAACGACGCUGUUUGGUCCCUUGACCCGCGCGGUGACCCAACCCGGGGGGAGGAUCCGCG